RNAcentral lists this ribosomal RNA (478 nucleotides) under Listeria monocytogenes. Its description in RNAcentral is "bacterial SSU rRNA". It matches the Rfam family "Bacterial small subunit ribosomal RNA", at positions 1054 to 1533 of the family's 1533-position model. The record is from RNAcentral. Lineage: Bacteria; Bacillati; Bacillota; Bacilli; Caryophanales; Listeriaceae.
GUCAGCUCGUGUCGUGAGAUGUUGGGUUAAGUCCCGCAACGAGCGCAACCCUUGAUUUUAGUUGCCAGCAUUUAGUUGGGCACUCUAAAGUGACUGCCGGUGCAAGCCGGAGGAAGGUGGGGAUGACGUCAAAUCAUCAUGCCCCUUAUGACCUGGGCUACACACGUGCUACAAUGGAUAGUACAAAGGGUCGCGAAGCCGCGAGGUGGAGCUAAUCCCAUAAAACUAUUCUCAGUUCGGAUUGUAGGCUGCAACUCGCCUACAUGAAGCCGGAAUCGCUAGUAAUCGUGGAUCAGCAUGCCACGGUGAAUACGUUCCCGGGCCUUGUACACACCGCCCGUCACACCACGAGAGUUUGUAACACCCGAAGUCGGUAGGGUAACCUUUAUGGAGCCAGCCGCCGAAGGUGGGACAGAUAAUUGGGGUGAAGUCGUAACAAGGUAGCCGUAUCGGAAGGUGCGGCUGGAUCACCUCCUUU